UGAGGGAUCUUGCGCAAUGGGGGCAACCCUGACGCAGCGACGCCGCGUGGGUGAAGAAGCCUUUCGAGGUGUAAAGCCCUUUUCUGUGGGAAGAGAGCGGACGGUACCACAGGAAUAAGUCACGGCUAACUACGUGCCAGCAGCCGCGGUAAAACGUAGGUGACAAGCGUUAUCCGGAAUUACUGGGCGUAAAGGGCGUCUAGGCGGUUUGGAAAGUCUAACGUGAAAGCUCCUGGCUCAACUAGGAGAGGCCGAUAGAAACUUUCAGGCUUGAGGGUCGGAGAGGGAGACGGAAUACCAGGUGAAGCGGUGAAAUGCGUAGAUAUCUGGUGGAACACCAGUGGCGAAGGCGGUCUCCUGGCCGGCACCUGACGCUGAAGCGCGAAAGCGUGGGGAGCGAACGGGAUUAGAUACCCCCGUAGUCC
This 425-nucleotide ribosomal RNA is filed under the name uncultured prokaryote. Its description in RNAcentral is "bacterial SSU rRNA". It matches the Rfam family "Bacterial small subunit ribosomal RNA", at positions 355 to 796 of the family's 1533-position model. The record is from RNAcentral.